GAGGAUUCCCCUAGUAACGGCGAGUGAAGCGGGAAGAGCUCAAAUUUGAAAUCUGGCGGUCUUGUGGCCGUCCGAGUUGUAGUCUGGAGAAGCGUUUUCUACGUCGGACCGUGUACAAGUCCCUUGGAACAGGGCGUCACAGAGGGUGAGAAUCCCGUCUUUGACACGGACYGCCGACGUUUUGCGAUGCGCUCUCGAAGAGUCGAGUUGUUUGGGAAUGCAGCUCAAAACGGGUGGUAAAUUCCAUCUAAAGCUAAAUAUUGGCGAAAGACCGAUAGCGAACAAGUACCGUGAGGGAAAGAUGAAAAGCACUUUGGAAAGAGAGUUAAACAGUACGUGAAAUUGUUGAAAGGGAAACGCUUGAAGUCAGUCGCGUCUUUUGGGAUUCAGCCUUGUGGGUUUCRCUUGGCGCAUUUCCCGAGGUGACGGGCCAGCAUCGAUCUCGAUCGUCGGAGAAAGGCUUURGGAACGUGGCACCUUCGGGUGUGUUAUAGCCUUCGGUCGCAUGCGACGGUUGGGAUCGAGGAUCGCAGCACGCCUCUUU
Molecule: ribosomal RNA, 544 nt
Filed under: Ramaria sp.
Lineage: Eukaryota; Fungi; Basidiomycota; Agaricomycetes; Gomphales; Gomphaceae
Description: LSU rRNA
Rfam family: Eukaryotic large subunit ribosomal RNA
Source: RNAcentral